AUGAGUUAAGUAUAAACCCCUUUACAAGUAUCAAUUGGAGGGCAAGUCUGGUGCCAGCAGCCGCGGUAAUUCCAGCUCCAAUAGCGUAUAUUAAAGUUGUUGCAGUUAAAAAGCUCGUAGUUGGAUUUCUGUUAAUAAUUUAUAUAAAAUAUUUUGAUGAAUAUUUAUAUAAUAUUAACAUAAUUCAUAUUACUAUUUUUUUUUUUA
This 207-nucleotide ribosomal RNA is filed under the name Cryptosporidium hominis. RNAcentral describes it as "partial 18S ribosomal RNA". It matches the Rfam family "Eukaryotic small subunit ribosomal RNA", at positions 514 to 720 of the family's 1831-position model. The record is from RNAcentral. Lineage: Eukaryota; Apicomplexa; Conoidasida; Eucoccidiorida; Cryptosporidiidae.